Molecule: unclassified non-coding RNA, 417 nt
Filed under: fungal sp.
Lineage: Eukaryota; Fungi
Description: partial internal transcribed spacer region
Rfam family: Eukaryotic small subunit ribosomal RNA (bases 1-46)
Source: RNAcentral
AAGUCGUAACAAGGUUUCCGUAGGUGAACCUGCGGAAGGAUCAUUAAUACGCUUUUGUUUGUAACAAAACAAAACGUUUUAAACUCCAAAAGAAAUAGUGGAAAUAUAACUUCCGGAUGCGAAUGUUGGGAACUGAGUAAAAUCGGUUCUUUGAAAAAGGGACUUCAAGCAAUUGACACUUCAGAGUAGAGCAGUGAGGUGAAAUUCUCGUUUUCGAGCGAGAGUUUGGUUCUGAAAAACAUUUGUAUCCGGUUAUCAUAAUCUGUUCUACAACACAAAAUAUCAAACAAUAAACCCCAUGUACAACAACUUGAACUAAACAUUUUUUUGUUGUCUGCUCGCCCUUGUGUGAGAAGAUGCUACAAAGAAAAAACCUGAACUUAAGAACAACUCUUAACAACGGAUAUCUUGGUUCUG